This 255-nucleotide long non-coding RNA is filed under the name Serinus canaria (Common canary). RNAcentral describes it as "lncRNA (ENSSCAG00000016267.1)". Lineage: Eukaryota; Metazoa; Chordata; Aves; Passeriformes; Fringillidae. The record is from RNAcentral.
GCGAAGGCUGGAUCAGGCUUGACGACGCGGGAGGAAAGAGUGGGACAGCCCGUGACCCAUAGAGCCAGAGAAGCAGGAGUGCGUGAGUGGCAGUGGAGGAGAAACACAGAGAAAGGGGCAGCCUGGCAAAAUAGGAGGGCAGCCACAGCAUGUGUGGAAGAGCAGAAGAAUGCUGAAUGUACAGAUCUGAGCUGCAGCUUCCUUGGAUUUCCAAGCCAAACCUGCAGUGAUAUCCCAGCUGGGAAAGGAAAAUAG